RNAcentral lists this ribosomal RNA (1728 nucleotides) under Triticum aestivum (bread wheat). RNAcentral's name for it is "partial small subunit ribosomal RNA". Lineage: Eukaryota; Viridiplantae; Streptophyta; Magnoliopsida; Poales; Poaceae. The record is from RNAcentral.
AUGGAGUCUCCUAAACGUUCCACUGAACGCACUCCCUUUAAAGACCUGUCCAACUCCGUCAACGCAAGUGUUGUCGACAUUAGUAAUGGAGGGCAACCUACAGAUAUGAAAGAACGCAAGAGGCAAUGUGCUAGGGAGCGAUAUGCGCAAAUGGAUAAACAGAAAAAAGAUGAAUUACUACGGAAGCACCGUGAAGCCUAUCAACAAAAAAGAGCUCGACCAUUAGUUAGUUCUGAAGAGGCGAAAGUGGGGGCAAGUCCAUCUGUGCUCUCCCAAGUGCAGAUAACGACAAUUGGUCAAGGGGACAUUGCAUUGAACAAGGAAAAUGUGGUGCCUAAUGAAGAUAGUGAGUGGUUAAAUAGAAAUGACACAUACCAAAGAGCAUCAAUUGAUUUGCCAUCCCAGGGGCAAGAAAACCUCAUGGCUGAUAUUAUUGCCAUCAACAAUUGCAGUAAUGAUGGGCCAACAUCAUCGAUGAUUCAACCACAACCCAUAGAUUCCAAAGAGCGGAAGAGGCUACGGGAUAGGGAACGAUAUGCAUUGAUGGAUUGCAAGAAAAAAGGUGAACUUCUAAAAAGACAGCGUGAAGCAAGGAAAUCAUCGUCAGAGAAACUUGAAUCAAUACGUGCGAAGGAUAGGGCAAGUUAUGCCAAUAUGACUCCCAAUCAAAAGCACACAAAGAUGGCAUUGCGUGCGUCAGUGCGCAAUACUCUGAGCAAGGAUUCCAUAGCCAUGGAGAACCCAUUGUAUAUCCCUAAGAUUGUUCGUGAUGGCUCCAUACCCACAUGUGAUUGGUCUAUUCCUAAAGUCAGCGGAACCCUUGUUUAUAUUCAGUCUACUUCGGAGCAGAUGGCAGAUGGGGAGACCCAUGAUAUGGAUGUGAGUGAAAUAUCACGGAGAAAACAUAUAACACAUGGAGAACGACACACAUUGAUGUGUCGUCGAAACGAAGCAUUCUAUGAAAGUACUAAGAAGAAUGAGACUGCAUCGAUGGAUGAAACCUCGUCGAUGAAUUUGGAAGGCGUAAAUGGUUUAGAACACCAAACCCAAUCGAUCAUUGUUAAUAAUGAAAACAUAUCUCCAACGCGCGAGACUGCCCAAAAACACCCAACACACUCACAAGGCAAUGAUUAUGGUGGUGAAGAGGGCGUCAUCUUGGAGGAAGACUCAGAAGACGAGGAAGGCUACAUGUUCGCUGGGAAUGAGGAUGACACCGAUGACGAUAUUGAAAUGGACGAGUCUGACAACGAGUCUGCCUCAGUUGCAAGCAUUCCAGAUCCCUAUGACAUGGUGUAUAGCAAGAUCCCAACAGACACACACAAGUUGAAGCCAGUGGAAGACUGCAAGCACUGCUAUGCCAAGAAGUUUGAGCGUGAGACCAUGGGGUUUUGCUGCCGUAAGGGGAAGAUCAAACUAGCCAACCCGGAUACGCCUCCUGAGCUCAUGAAGCUAUGGACGAGUGAUGACCCUGCUGCUAGGCAUUUUCGUGACAACAUCAGGUUUUUCAAUAGCCAUUUCUCAUUCACCUCACUAUAUUGUCACCUUGAUAGUGAUACCACUAACACAUUAAAGCAUCCUAUCUACACAUUCCGUGCCCAUGGCCAAAUGUACCACAAUAUACGGUCAUUUGGCAAACAAGAUGGUUUGGAUCGUAGUCAUCUGGAGCUCUACUUCUAUGAUAAUGAUCCCAGUUUAGAGCAUAGGUAUCGCAGUUGUCGCAAAGAGUAG